This 653-nucleotide small RNA is filed under the name Arabidopsis thaliana (thale cress). RNAcentral's name for it is "putative long intergenic non-coding RNA". The record is from RNAcentral. Lineage: Eukaryota; Viridiplantae; Streptophyta; Magnoliopsida; Brassicales; Brassicaceae.
GAUAAGUUCUUAAUUCACAAAUCUAGUUAUUGCUAGCAACUCUGUUUCUCUGUUCUAAACCCUAGGACUUUAUACUUUUUAUUUCUAUUGUUGUGUGUUAGGUAAGAUUAGUUCAUGAUUAGGCUCGCAAGUCACAAUCUCAUUUUAGUGUGAAGUUUCUAUUUGAAACUAUCAAAAUCUUUAGAUGAUCCAGUUUAUUCUCAACUUUUUGGUGAAAUCUCUUCUUGUUCCUUCACUUGUCAAUGUGUUUUUUCACUGUGGAAAUGAUUUAGCUCUGCUGUGGUGGUUUGAGGUCCGUACGAUAAGUCUAUGCAAUGAAAGGAAAUUUGAAGCACAUGGAAGUUGAUUGGGCAUGCAGAUAAAGUUUGGUCGGUAUUGAGAACUUAAAGAAAUAUCAAGAGGCAUAUUCCCUCAAGAAUUAGCUCUACAUACUCUGUUUUUUUAUUGGAAUUAUAUUGUUGGGUUUGAAUUGUUCUUAGUUUGUUUCCGAGUUUUAAUUUGCAUAAUCUCCGAUGUAUAAGGAGUCAACAAGUAGUCCUAGCAUUUCGCUUCAGUUAGUCGUGCUUCCUAUAUUCUCUGUUUCUAGUUAUUGUAGAAGAUUGAGUCUUCAGCUCUAGGCUGUUUAUAGCCCUUUCAUUUGUGAUAAUAAAAAC